CCUACGGGGCGCAGCAGUGAGGAAUAUUGGUCAAUGGACGCAAGUCUGAACCAGCCAUGCCGCGUGCAGGAAGACGGCUCUAUGAGUUGUAAACUGCUUUUGUACGAGGGUAAACGCAGAUACGCGUAUCUGUCUGAAAGUAUCGUACGAAUAAGGAUCGGCUAACUCCGUGCCAGCAGCCGCGGUAAUACGGAGGAUUCAAGCGUUAUACGGAUUUAUUGGGUUUAAAGGGUGCGUAGGCGGUCGGAUAAGUUAGAGGUGAAAUCCCGAGGCUCAACUUCGGAAUUGCCUCUGAUACGGUGCGGCUAGAGAGUAGUUGCGGUAGGCGGAAGGUAUGGUGUAGCGGUGAAAUGCUUAGAGAUCAUACAGAACACAGAUUGCGAAGGCAGCUUACCAAGCUACUUCUGACGUUGAGGCACGACAGCGUGGGGAGCAAACAGGAUUAGAUACCCCUGUAGUC
RNAcentral lists this ribosomal RNA (460 nucleotides) under uncultured bacterium. RNAcentral describes it as "partial 16S ribosomal RNA". It matches the Rfam family "Bacterial small subunit ribosomal RNA", at positions 338 to 795 of the family's 1533-position model. The record is from RNAcentral.